Molecule: ribosomal RNA, 775 nt
Filed under: Antrodiaetus robustus
Lineage: Eukaryota; Metazoa; Arthropoda; Arachnida; Araneae; Antrodiaetidae
Description: eukaryotic LSU rRNA
Rfam family: Eukaryotic large subunit ribosomal RNA
Source: RNAcentral
CUCGAAGUCUUCUUGCGGGUGGAUUCAGUCAGGAGUCUACGAACCUCUGUCGGUACGUGACCUCUCACAUUUAUGUGAAGGGGGACUCCGGGCAGCAGGCGUGACUCGAAGGGGCCUGACGCAUUUCCAACCCGCACGAUAAGGACGCCGCAGCCGGUUGGGUAGCUGCGCGUGUCGGCCAUGAGGACGUGCAGUGGCAGUAGACCGUUUCUCGCUAAAAAGUGGCGUUUGCCGGUUGUUUAGCCAGUUCGUCCGUGGCGCGACACCCGACCGAGGUUCAGGAGGUUCCACUAGAUGGGACCUCGCCGUUCCUUUCUGUCUGUAUAACACAGGUCUGUGUGCACCAGAGCGGGCCGGCGGACAGGCGAGGUGCUGCGCCAUACCGCUCUAGUCAUCGAACUGGGUGGUGCGUAGUAUCCGCCGGUGGUCCGCGUCGGUUAAACCGCAAUGGGAAGAGAGAGUUUGGCUCGUGGCGAGUAGGUCGGUCACCCACCCGACCCGUCUUGAAACACGGACCAAGGAGUCUAACAUGUGCGCGAGUCAUGGGGUCUUGUUUAGGCCCAGAGGCAUAAUGAAAGUGAAGUUGGAUCUCUGUAUACCAUGUUGGGAUUUCCCGAGGAAUUGGAAAGCCCGAGGAAAGCACCAACGACCCGCCCUGUUCUUGAUUUUAAAGUGUGGACGGCGUCUGAGCGCACACGUUGGGACCCGAAAGAUGGUGAACUAUGCCUGGGCAGGACGAAGCCAGAGGAAACUCUGGUGGAGGUCCGCAGCGGUU